UAAACCAUCUUACACCUCUGCCACUAAGUGAAUUUGUAGUACUGGUGAAUCACCAUUUCGAUCGGCCGUGCUAUGCUCUCACUUCAAGCCCAUGUGGCACGAAUCAUUUUAUUCGAUUGCUACAACAAAUUCAAAUUAGAGUAGAGAAAACUCGACCAAUGUAUGCAGUUUAGGCUCUGAUUUCCUCCAGGACACCAUAUUUCAGCUGUCCCCGGAAACGGCAUUUGUGGUGUCCUCUAUCCAGCAAAUGGAUGUGGUACUUUUGAUUCACUAGGGAUGAACAAAACGGAAUCGUACUAGUAUAGUAUUGAAUUAUAUGAAUACGAAAUGAUUCCUAGUUUCCAGUUGCAUCUCAUUCCUACUGU
This 365-nucleotide long non-coding RNA is filed under the name Oryza brachyantha (malo sina). RNAcentral's name for it is "long non-coding RNA (OBRA_LNC002418)". Lineage: Eukaryota; Viridiplantae; Streptophyta; Magnoliopsida; Poales; Poaceae. The record is from RNAcentral.